RNAcentral lists this ribosomal RNA (270 nucleotides) under uncultured archaeon. RNAcentral's name for it is "partial 16S ribosomal RNA". It matches the Rfam family "Archaeal small subunit ribosomal RNA", at positions 477 to 747 of the family's 1478-position model. The record is from RNAcentral.
CUGCAGCUCGAGUGGUGAUCGUUAUUAUUGGGCCUAAAACGUCCGUAGCCUGUUUGGUAAAUGCUUGGGUAAAUCGUGUGGCUUAACCAUACGAAUACCGGGUAGACUGCCAGACUUGAGACCGGGAGAGGUUGGAGGUACUCCUGGGGUAGAGGUGAAAUUCUGUAAUCCUGGGGGGACCACCAGUGGCGAAGGCGUCCAACCAGAACGGGUCUGACGGUGAGGGACGAAGCCCUGGGGCGCAAACCGGAUUAGAUACCCGAGUAGUCC